Molecule: ribosomal RNA, 776 nt
Filed under: uncultured Neocallimastigales
Lineage: Eukaryota; Fungi; Neocallimastigomycota; Neocallimastigomycetes; Neocallimastigales
Description: partial large subunit ribosomal RNA
Rfam family: Eukaryotic large subunit ribosomal RNA
Source: RNAcentral
AGAGAGAGACAUGCGCGCAUAUCAAUAAGCGGAGGAAAAGAAACUAACAAGGAUUCCCUUAGUAACGGCGAGUGAAGCGGGAAGAGCUCAAAUUUGAAAUCUUCAAGGUUUUACCUUGACGAAUUGUAGUUUAAAGAAGUGUUUUCUGCUGAAGUUUUGGUAAAAGUUCUUUGGAAUAGGACAUCAUAGAGGGUGAGAAUCCCGUAUUUGACCAUUAUUUUCAGCUUUGUGAUACACUUUCAAAGAGUCGGAUUGUUUGGGAAUGCAGUCCAAAAUGGGUGGUAAAUUUCAUCUAAAGCUAAAUAUUGGCGAGUAGACCGAUAGCGAACAAGUACCGUGAGGGAAAGAUGAAAAGAACUUUGAAAAGAGAGUUAAACAGUACGUGAAAUUGUCAAAAGGGAAGCGUUUGACACCAGUGUUGUUUUCUCGUAAAUCAAUCAAAAAUGGCUCGAUUUUGUAUUGUUGAGACCUUAAAAGCUCACUGUACAUUUUUCGUGUCUUUUUUAAUGCACUUUUCGUUUAACAAGUCAACAUCAGUUUCUUUUGUUGUAAAAGGGUCAUUGGAAGGUGGCUUUCUUUUCGGAGAAAGUGUUUAUAGCCUUUGGCCUCUGCAAUCGGAAGAGACUGAGGUCUGCAGCGUAGACUCUUCGGGGUUAGAUACAUUUGUGCUAAGUUAUAGCUUUUUAUAGACAACUUGUUGACUAUAAUUAGUCUUGUAGCUUACUCGCUUAUGCUAUUUUACCUACGCUUAGGAUGUUGAAGAUGUAGCACAUCAU